This 517-nucleotide ribosomal RNA is filed under the name uncultured bacterium. RNAcentral describes it as "bacterial SSU rRNA". It matches the Rfam family "Bacterial small subunit ribosomal RNA", at positions 791 to 1315 of the family's 1533-position model. The record is from RNAcentral.
UAGUCCACGCCCUAAACGAUGCUAACUCGAUGUUUGGACGUAAGUUUGAGCAUCCAAGGGAAACCGUUAAGUUAGCCACCUGGGGAGUACGUCGGCAACGAUGAAACUCAAAGGAAUUGACGGGGGCCCGCACAAGCGGUGGAGCAUGUGGUUUAAUUCGAUGAUACGCGAGGAACCUUACCAGGGCUUAAAUGCAUAUUGACAGGGUCAGAGAUGGCCUUUCCUUCGGGCAAUUUGCAAGGUGCUGCAUGGUUGUCGUCAGCUCGUGCCGUGAGGUGUCAGGUUAAGUCCUAUAACGAGCGCAACCCCUACCGUUAGUUGCCAGCGAGUAAUGUCGGGGACUCUAACGGGACUGCCGGUGCAAACCGUGAGGAAGUGGGGAUGACGUCAAAUCAUCACGGCCCUUACGUCCUGGGCCACACACGUGCUACAAUGGCCGGUACAGAGAGCAGCCAUCCGGUAACGGAGCGCGAAUCUACAAAACCGGUCACAGUUCGGAUCGGGGUCUGCAACUCGA